GCACUCUGGAGAGAACACUUUCUGUCAGAGGAGUGUCACCGAUGGGGCGCCUGCUGCGGCGAAGCUCUCAGGUAAAAGGACAGAGAACAA
Molecule: non-coding RNA, 90 nt
Filed under: uncultured Anaerosporomusa sp.
Lineage: Bacteria; Bacillati; Bacillota; Negativicutes; Acetonemataceae
Description: Glycine riboswitch
Rfam family: Glycine riboswitch aptamer
About the family: This family represents the bacterial glycine riboswitch. Glycine riboswitches usually consist of two metabolite-binding aptamers domains with similar structures in tandem. The aptamers cooperatively bind glycine to regulate the expression of downstream genes.
Source: RNAcentral